RNAcentral lists this ribosomal RNA (477 nucleotides) under uncultured bacterium. Its description in RNAcentral is "partial 16S ribosomal RNA". It matches the Rfam family "Bacterial small subunit ribosomal RNA", at positions 30 to 507 of the family's 1533-position model. The record is from RNAcentral.
AUUGAACGCUGGCGGCAUGCCUUACACAUGCAAGUCGAACGGUAACAGGUUAAGCUGCCGGGUGGCGAACGGGUGAGUAAUGUAUCGGAACGUGCCCAGUCGUGAGGAAUAACUGCUCGAAAGAGCAGCUACUACCGCAUACGACCUGCGGGUGAAAGCGGGGGAUCGCAAGUCCUCGCACGAUUGGAGCGGCCGAUAUCCGAUUAGGUAGUUGGUGGGGUAAAGGCUCACCAAGCCGACGAUCUGUAGCUGGUCUGAGAGGACGACCAGCCACACUGGGACUGAGACACGGCCCAGACUCCUACGGGAGGCAGCAGUGGGGAAUUUUGGACAAUGGGCGCAAGCCUGAUCCAGCCAUGCCGCGUGCGGGAAGAAGGCCUUCGGGUUGUAAACCGCUUUUGUCAGGGAAGAAAAGGUUCUGGCUAAUACCUGGGACUCAUGACGGUACCUGAAGAAUAAGCACCGGCUAACUACGUG